AAAACAUCUUUUCUUGUUUAUUAAUUUGAGAUCUGACCUGCCCAAUGAUUAAUAUUUAAUGGCCGCGGUAUUUUGACCGUGCAAAGGUAGCAUAAUCAUUAGUUUAUUAAUUGUGGACUUGUAUGAAUGGUUGGACGAAAUAUUAACUGUCUCAUAUUUAUUUUUUGAAUUUAAUUUUUUAGUUAAAAAGCUUAAAUUUUAUUGUAAGACGAGAAGACCCUAUAGAUCUUUAUUUUUUAAAUUAAAUUUAUAAUUUAGUUUAUUUUUAAUAUAUAAUUUUAAAAUUUUUUGUUGGGGUGACAUGGAGAUAUAUUUAACUCUUUAUUUUAUUUACAUUUAUUUAUGAUUUUAUGACCUUUUACUAUUGUUUAAAGAUAUAGAUACCUUAGGGAUAACAGCGUAAUUUUUUUUGAGAGUUCAUAUCGACAAUAAAGAUUGCGACCUCGAUGUUGGAUUAAGAAUAAUUUAAGGUGUAGGUGCUUUAUAAAUUAGGUCUGUUCGACCUUUAAAUUCUUACA
RNAcentral lists this ribosomal RNA (518 nucleotides) under Autolyca sp. WS059. RNAcentral's name for it is "partial 16S ribosomal RNA". It matches the Rfam family "Bacterial large subunit ribosomal RNA", at positions 1810 to 2600 of the family's 2925-position model. Lineage: Eukaryota; Metazoa; Arthropoda; Insecta; Phasmatodea; Pseudophasmatidae. The record is from RNAcentral.